RNAcentral lists this non-coding RNA (30 nucleotides) under Homo sapiens (human). The record is from RNAcentral. Lineage: Eukaryota; Metazoa; Chordata; Mammalia; Primates; Hominidae.
UGGUCCAGGCUCCAAGCUGAGAGCACUUGC